GGGUGAAAAGCAACUCGACAGUCAUUCCCAUGGCCAGAAGGCUAGGCCAGUGAUUACCGGCCCAUUCCUGGGGAUAGUUGGGGUCUCAGGCUUUGGCCUGGAUUCAGUCAAUAAAAGGCCUCCCUGCUCCUCUGAACCAAGUCUGAACUUUGAAUUUAUCAUCAACCGUGAAGCAUUUGGAACCAAGAAAACAAGAAGUUACCAGUAUGUGUUGGAUACUCAUUAAAGACUGAGCAACAUUUUAUGAAAUAACCCAACCCCUCCCCACUUUGUGUCUGAUCAAGGAAAAUAAUUUAAACGCCUCACUCGUUCCCUUAGACUGUGCCCGGUGAAGCAGUAUGUACUUGUGGGGAUUAAUAAAUACUUUUUCAUGAUGA
This is a long non-coding RNA of Ornithorhynchus anatinus (platypus), 377 nucleotides long. RefSeq lists it as uncharacterized. The record is from RefSeq and is a predicted model, not a curated record. Lineage: Eukaryota; Metazoa; Chordata; Mammalia; Monotremata; Ornithorhynchidae. The transcript is spliced from 2 exons.